Molecule: transfer RNA, 72 nt
Filed under: Loxodonta africana (African savanna elephant)
Lineage: Eukaryota; Metazoa; Chordata; Mammalia; Proboscidea; Elephantidae
Rfam family: tRNA
About the family: Transfer RNA (tRNA) molecules are approximately 80 nucleotides in length. Their secondary structure includes four short double-helical elements and three loops (D, anti-codon, and T loops).
Source: Rfam by way of RNAcentral
GCCGUGGUGGCGCAACGGUUAAGAGCUUGGAUGCUAACCAGAGGGUUGGUGGUUCAAACCCACCCAGUGGCU